CUUUUCUUGCACAACUCCGAGUCCUUUAGAGUGAGAAAGGGUAGGCUCUCAAGAUCUCUAAUUCUCUAUGGAUCACGGACCUCUUGUUAUUCGUGUGAAUAAGAUAUCGCGGUGUAAAUAGCUUUGUCGUUAAGUCUGACUUUCGAGUACUGCUUUAAUUUCUCCCUCAAUUUUAUAUGGCUAAUUGUUCUGUAAAAACUGAUAUCCAACACACAAGUUGGCUAAAUUACCAUUAAUCUGUUUUGAUAGUCUGUUUUGUCUUUCACUAGGAUUUUCCUUUAUGUUAUUAACCUUAAG
Molecule: unclassified non-coding RNA, 297 nt
Filed under: Hevea brasiliensis (rubber tree)
Lineage: Eukaryota; Viridiplantae; Streptophyta; Magnoliopsida; Malpighiales; Euphorbiaceae
Source: RNAcentral